RNAcentral lists this ribosomal RNA (426 nucleotides) under uncultured bacterium. RNAcentral's name for it is "bacterial SSU rRNA". It matches the Rfam family "Bacterial small subunit ribosomal RNA", at positions 8 to 448 of the family's 1533-position model. The record is from RNAcentral.
AGAGUUUGAUCCUGGCUCAGAAUCAACGCUGGCGGCGUGCCUAACACAUGCAAGUCGCACGAGAAAGGGUAGCAAUACCUGAGUAAAGUGGCGCACGGGUGAGUAACACGUGACUAAUCUACCCUCGAGUGGGGAAUAACUGAGAGAAAUCUUAGCUAAUACCGCAUAACACUUACGAGUCAAAGCAGCAAUGCGCUUGGGGAGGAGGUCGCGGCCGAUUAGCUAGUUGGCGGGGUAAUGGCCCACCAAGGCGAUGAUCGGUAUCCGGCCUGAGAGGGCGCACGGACACACUGGAACUGAAACACGGUCCAGACUCCUACGGGAGGCAGCAGUGGGGAAUUUUGCGCAAUGGGGGAAACCCUGACGCAGCAACGCCGCGUGGAGGAUGAAAUAUCUUGGUAUGUAAACUCCUUUCGAUGGGGAAGA